GGUUAAUAAAACCCCUGAGUUGUGGUUUCAGAAAUGUCCAUCGAUCCUUUUUC
RNAcentral lists this transfer RNA (53 nucleotides) under Eisenia nordenskioldi nordenskioldi. Its description in RNAcentral is "partial tRNA-His". The record is from RNAcentral. Lineage: Eukaryota; Metazoa; Annelida; Clitellata; Crassiclitellata; Lumbricidae.